UCUCACUGCCCAACAGCUUUGAGGGGUGCUGAGGUCAGAGGAGCCUGCCCUCAGGGAGGCCUCCACCGCCCGCCCCCCUCCGCCCCGCCCCGCCAUCAUCCUGGCCACUCCCCUUGGGGCCCGGUGCAGCUCACAGAGAGGGAGGUGGCCACACGCCUGACCUCCACGGGGCACCGAAGGUGAUGAUGCUGCUGACAGUCCCUCGUGGGACUUCUUUACACCCUCACCACCUCUCCUCCCCCUCCUCACAGGAAGACGCCCGGAGGAGCUGAGUGCAGAGUACCCCGCUGGUGAGCGCGGAUGCUCCGAGACUGAGACCCCACAACUCCAUAGUGUCUCCUGGGGAACCGCACGGUGCGCAGGGUGUGUAUGGCUGGGGAAGCGACCAAGGGCUGUGGAACCCUCGCCGCGCCAAUUCAGCACUGCCCGACCUCACAGGACGCGACCGCCAGGACCCACAGGGACCGCCGUCCCCACCACCGCCCCACUCACCCAGGCCGCCAUCUGCAGCUCUCCGCCGAGGGUGACCGGAGUAGGAGUAAUAGUGGGACCCGCCUUUGACGACCGAGGGCGACAGCGGCCCCGGGCUGCUGAGGGCCAGCUCGCUGGGCAGGAAGCUGGCCUGAGGGAGGGGGAGGGUUAGCAGCCGGUCCCCUGCCCAGCCCCCAGGCCAUUCUGGUUUAAAACAACAAAGGCAAGAGCAAGGGCCCAGGCCAAUGGCAGGGUCCUGGGGUGACAGUGACCUGGGGCAUAGGUCCCUCCCUGCUGACACCACUGGCGUUUCUCUUAUCUAAGAUACCACCGAUUCAUUUUCAUGAAGGAAAAAGAUGAGAGAAACACCGUCAAGCCUGAAGAUGUGUUGCUGUCUGGGCGCUAAACGGGCACAACUAUGCUUCAGGUGUCAAGGGAAUCUGUGUGUUUUACUUCGUACGUAUCCCCCCCCCCUUUUUUUUAAGGUAAACGGUUUAAUCUCGCAGACAUGCGUUUGAAAUAGACUCUGUUCCCAGGAAAGCAACAAUGACGGGGGUUCGAGGCGCAGUGCUGCAGCCUUGGCUCUCCUGUCUGUGCAAUGGGCAUGUCAGACGUUCCACGGCUCAGGGGCGUCGUGGGGACAGAUGGGGCCAUGCACGUUCUGCCCCUGGCCGAUGACCUGGGGCCCCACGGGCAUUCAGUGGCUGUGACCUGGCUGAGGCCCAGUGUGCACCCAGGCGGUGCUGCCUGCAGCAGGGCCUAGCUGCACCCUGAGGUUCCAGGACUGCAGGCAGGGAAUAAAGCCCUCGGGCGUGGGGCGGGAGAGAGACCAGGUGGGGCAGGACAGGAGGCCACAAGGGACCACUGUGCCAGGCAACUGGCCCGUCAGCAUCCCAGUGGGGUGGCCAAGGGUGACAAUCUCGCCCAGGCCGGGGACUGUGCCGAGGUUGGACCACAAGGCUGGGAGCACGGAGCGAGGGUCAGGCCUCGUCUACCUGGCUGGCCUCGGUUUCCCUGUCUGCCACUUGGGGGCAGGCGGGCGGGCAGGUGUCUCCUGGAACCCCUUCAGCUGUGCACAGGGCCCCACAGGCUGGACCCCAGCCUCCCCUUUCCCCAUCGACAACCCACCCGGCCUGACCCAGGGACCGGGCCCGUUUCAGCGGCUGCUGGAGAGUGACCAGCACUUGGCUGAGCCUUCCCAGAUCAGGAGGCAAUUUGGGACGAAUUCGUUUCAAAUUAAAACUAGGGAAUACAAGGUGGGGUGAGAAGUCAAGCGGUGACUGUGGCCCCCACUGGGAACCUCCCAUCCCUAACCACCUGGAGACGGGGGCUCUCCAGGCUCCAAGGGCCACUGGGGGCCGACGGGACCCACGCCCUCCCCUGCCCACCCUGCAGACGCAGCAUCACCUGAGUCAGGCUGCCGACCCCUGCGUCUCUCCCAAAGGGGGUGUACACGCCCCGCUCGCCGCCCUUGCCUGUGGAAGAGGAAGGAGGGUCACCCGGAGCUGACCCAGAGGCCGGCACACGCCCGCAUACAGCAGGCUCUCCACAAGUUCACGACACUGAAAACCGUGGUGGCACACUGGUCUCCCCAUCAAGUGGCGAGGGGCUGAGGGACAAGUGGGGCUCCAGCCAGACGCUAUCCCCAGAUGACCCGCAGAGGAUUCUGCAAACCCGCCAGGGCCCCCCCGUACCCCAUCCCCAGAGCGGGACAGCACCGACUCGGCUCCCCACCCCUGCCCUUCUCGAGCUUUGGUUUCCUCUGUUCAAGGUCAUGAGGUGUCAACUCCCCAGGGUGCUGGGUUCCCAGGGGACAGGUCGAGGUCCCUGGUAUCUUGCAAGUUUCAGCACCCAGGCCCUGGGCUCCUUCCCCAGCUCCUGGACAGGGUCAGCUCACGAACAAGCAUGUGGCAUCGCUGGGGAUGCUGAUUCAAGCCACUCAGUGCGAAGGAGCCCUUCCUCUGUGUGGGUGGGCAAGACCGAGCUGUGGGGGGACAGCCUGCCCGAGAGAGCAGCUGGUAUGAACAGACUCCUGCAGCUACACAAACACCUGGAUCCAGCCUCGCCUGAAGCAGGUCCCUGGAUCCAUCAGUACCUGAAUAAUUUCAGUUUGUUUCUGGCUUCAGCUGGGCACCUGUCCUGACUGAGGGCGGACCUUAACCAGCCUUACCGUGAGCAAGAAAUCAGAAUGCUUGACUAAUUUGGUUUAUUCUCAAACUGGGCAGGGGGUGUGGGGGAAUUCUCCCCUUUAUCCAUUUAUUUUUUGAAUAUUUUUACUCAUUUUUUGGCCACGCUGCGCAGCUUGUGGGACCUCAGUUCCUCGACCAGGGAUCAAACCUGUGCCCCUCGGCUGUGAAAGUGCUGAGUCCUAACCACUGGACCACCAGGAAAUUCCCUCUCCCCUUGAUUUUAAAAGGACAAUUUCAAGUGGACUCUUGGAGCAAAUGCUGUUUAGGGGACAGGGAGAAGGACCACGCUCCUACCAACACAGCAGAUGCCCCACAGGCCACGCCCACCAGCUCAAGCUCAGGGCAGGCGACACGGGGCCCAUUUAGGGAUGAACAAACCACAGCUUGGAGGCCAGAGGGACUCGCCCCCAGUCCAGAGGGUGCGCUCCUCCCUCCCUUCCCAGGGUGGACGUGGGAAGCAAAGCUGGCCAGCCCAGCCAGGGCUCUGGGCUCCCCACUGCAGGGUGGGGCUGCUGUGGUUUGACCCUGCGUACAGCAGGCACCAAGCAGGGGCAUCCUGAAAGGAAGGCUGAGGGAGGCAAGGAGAGAAAACAGAGGUUCUGGGAGGGGACCUGCGAGAUCCACGAGCCCUGUGGGUAUACAGCGGGUGCCCAAGCCAUGCACCGGGCCCGGGCAUCAGAGUAUGAGAGGGGGAAGAAGGACAGACACCAAGAGCAGACCCACCAGGUCUCAUCGAGGAGCUGGACCAGGUUGGGGGCCCCACGGGAACAGAGCGACCCUCGCCCCCUGGGCCUGGCACUCACCGCCCGCUGCCCCACCAUGGCUAUCGCCAGCCCCAGUCCACAGGCAAGAAAACCAGGGCCCAGGGAGGCCGAAACUGCGCCCACCUCCCCACUGUCUCGCUGGGCCUGGCCUGGGCUCCCUGCUGCACUCUCUGAGCUCCUCGGCCACUGGGGCGUGUGGCGGGUGUGUGGCACAGCUGGGCUCUGGGCCCUGCUGACCAGGCCCGGCCGUGGGAACUGCCCGUGCCAGGAAGAAGCCGGAGGAAGGAACAGCAGAGGGGAACCGGUGUCGUGGCAGGUGCAGAGGCCACCCGGCCAGCCCUCACAUCCCGGUCUGGGAGAUGCACACAGACUCCCGCUAGACACAGUGGGUGCCGGACACUGUGCUCCCCCUUCCUGCCUGGGACUGCACCCAGGCCACGCUCGCCCGUCUGGCUCCUUCCAUGCGCCAGUCCACAAGGGCUGGACCCCAGGCCCUCCGGCCUUGGCUGCCCCACUGGUUGGUUGGGCCCGGCAACGAGAGUUCACCCACCUCCCCCAGCAGCCACCAACCCUGCCGCCAUGCACCUCGGCCUGGGAACCGCUGGGGACGGUGCCAAAGGAGCCUACCUCACCCGGCUGUCAUGUGCAAGGACCUCGUGUCUCAGGAGCACCAGGAGUGCGCAGCCCAGGCCCUGAGGCGGGAGCUGACUCACCCCCCGGCCCCUUUCAACCUCCAGAGAUGCCAGCUUGGCAGUCACCCCGACACUCCCUCAGAACAGGGAGGGCCCAGGCUCAGCAGGGCCAGCGCUCGGACACCCAACCAGGGCCUGAGGGUCCCAGAGGCCGGGUCCCUUCUCGCUGAGCCUCAGUCUGCUCAUCUGCGAGAUGGGGGUGGGCCUUCGGGCCUAGGGAGCCAGGUGAGUCCUUACCACUGGCUACGCAGAAGGCUCUGAGAAUCCCCAUCCCCGCAGGUCGGGAAACUGGGGCUAGAGAGGGGACCCUCACCCAGGUCCCGAUGCUGAUUCUCACGGUCAGGAUGCCGGUGCUCUGGGGAGAGCAGGCGAGGGGGCCGGCCUCAGACUCGGCCUCCCCAGGUUGUCAGGACUCCGGAGUCCACUUCCCGGCAGGCACCUGGCUGGUCCCCACCUGUGUCCUCUGCUCUGGGCGGCCAUCCCGGAAGCCCUGGUGCUCAAGGACCGAGCGGGCACGGGGGUGGGGGCAGGGACCACGUGGACACUCACCUCCGAGCCCAGGUCCCAGGAAUGUGGACGAAGCGAGGGUGCCGUGGGACUCACUGAAGUGGGCGCCAUCACCGUAGGUCUGUAGAGGGGACGGGCAGGGAUGAGGGAGGCUCAGGGACGCCUCUGGGUCAGGAUGUGACCGCGCCACAGAGCCCAAAGCACCUGCAGGCCAGGCCGGGGUUCUCCUCGCGCUCGCCCACCCCCACCCCAGGGUCUCAGGCCUCCAGGGGCUCCUCACCCGGCUGGGGUCGAAGGAGGAACUGUUCUGCUCGCCGGUGCCCCACGAGCCCGAACUGGGCCGGUCCUCGAGACCUGUAGGGCAGGAAGGCAGGGUUAGGGGCCCGGCCCCUGGCCGCUCCACACCAGCCGCAUCGCCUCGGGGAGCCCUCACUCGACCUGGGAAGCUUUCCAGGCCCCUCCCGACCCAGCCUGGAGCUGGAGCCCGUCCAGAUGCACCCACCCUAGCACUACCCAUGGUGACACCACUGCCAGCGGCAAGCACCCCGGACACACCGGCACUAAGCAGAUCUCUGGGUCCACGGCCCAAGAAACAAUUCCACCACCAGCUGCUGGCAAACUUGCCAUUGCUGCUGGCACACUUCUACCCACCCGUGCAGCUCCCAGCCCACCCUGGACGGAGCCCUCACUUGCACUCUGGGCUUCCCUCCCCAGGCCCAAGUCCCUCCCUCUGGCCCAGGCUCAUGAAGGCGUCAGGGAAUGGGAAUGAAGGAUAUCUCUCAUCUCGAGAGUGGGAGCCUCCCCCUUCCCAUCUCUGGCAAUUCGAGAGGCGGGGCUGUCCCUUUGUUGAAGUAACAGCGGCAGCUGCCGCGGACUACCCGCCAGGCACAGGCUGGCGGCAGGGAAGGAGAAAUCCAAUCCGGGAAGGUCUGCUGACCCAGGCACGGAGAAGAUUCCAGGAGCAAGUCCCUCCGUAUGAAGUAGCCAGACUACCAGACUUCAGCACCUGGAGUGUGGAGAAGACGUGGUCACAGGGCCUAGGCAUGGCCCUGCACCGUCCCCACCACAAACCUGUCACGUAGCCAUGGUCGUCAGGGGCUUCGUGCGGCAGCCCCAGCUCUGUCAGCACCCCCCCACCCGGGUGCCCGGGCUAAAUCCCAGGAGCCGUGCUCUCCCCUUCCCUCACUCCACUGCCCCCUACCCAUGGUCUCGGAUCAGAGCCUGGCUCGGCCUUGUGUCCCCUGGGUCAAGCCCCCAUCCGUACAGCAGUGUCCCCCCCACCCCAGGUUCCCUGCCCACACUCCACCCCAAGCAGCCUGAUGGGAGCUUCUGGAAGCAAAACCUGCCUCUCCUCCCUCCCUCUAGACUCUCCCAUGGCUCCCCACUGCUCUCAGGGUAAAGACUAGACCCCUCCCUGACCGCCCUUCGCCCCCAGCUCACUCCUCCCUGCCCAACAAGUGAGCAGAUCCCCAACCCCGACCCAAGCUCUGCCCCAGUGGUCCCCACACCUUCAUCGCCCGUCAGGGAGGUUGCCUUGCUGGCCCCCUGUCCCCAGCAUUGCCUGAACAGGGCUGGCCCCCAAACAACCUCGACAAGUAUCUGUUUUUGGCCUCUUCAUUGCUCUGAUAACUAUCCAACCAAUCACAAUGUCCUCCGGCAGUGCCAUCCUCCUGCGGUCACAGGCAGCUACCACGGGACUGGCGGAAAGAGCUCCCCACUCGACGAGAUGUUAAUUAACGCACGAGUAGAUGACCCUGUGUGGCUAAGCGGCUGCUGUGCUGGACGUGUGGCCCCCUAGGUAAAGACUAGAGUAGCAACGGCAAUAAAAAUAACCACCAUGCACCAUGAUCACAGCUGAGAAAAAAUUAACAGCACCUGAGGGCAGCCGUCUGCUGGUCCUCACGUAAGUGUUUCCUUCCCGCCACUAUCAGCUCCCCAAGGCCGUCAGCUCCCCCUCUGGCUUUUUCCCCUUAGAAUUAAAAUCCCCGAGAAACGGGAUGGUGGCCUGUUCAGCAGCACCUGGGGUCUCAUGAGGGGCAAGCCCAACACAGGUGUGAGUCAGGAGAAAGUCCUUCCUCAAGUGGGCCGGGGCCUCCCUGCACGGGCCAGUGGGGUCCUCACCUCUCUUCCUGUGAUGUUUGGGGCAACUUCUGAACUCUUACAUCACUUCAGACUUGAAGGAAAGCUGCGGGGAGAUGCACGACAUGCCCCAGACCCUCUCAUGCCUUACAUGCGCCCCCUUUUUCAUUCGCCCCUCCGUGUUCACAGGCAGCUACGCUUGUCUCUGGCCUUCAGAGUUUCAAAAGUUGCUAGGAAUUCCAGGGCGCCAGGGAGCUCCCGCCAGAGGGAGCAGGUUCCAAGUGGCUGGAGGAAAAGUGCCGGAGCGGCUCACAGCCCUUGCCGUUCCUGCCCCUGAAAGUGGGGGUGGGGAGACAGGGGACCUGGAGCUGCGCCCAAGCA
This is a non-coding RNA of Globicephala melas (long-finned pilot whale), 7083 nucleotides long. NCBI's taxonomy places the organism in Eukaryota, Metazoa, Chordata, Mammalia, Artiodactyla, Delphinidae. The record is from RefSeq and is a predicted model, not a curated record.